RNAcentral lists this transfer RNA (77 nucleotides) under marine sediment metagenome. Its description in RNAcentral is "tRNA-Ile". It matches the Rfam family "tRNA". From Rfam's summary of the family: Transfer RNA (tRNA) molecules are approximately 80 nucleotides in length. Their secondary structure includes four short double-helical elements and three loops (D, anti-codon, and T loops). The record is from RNAcentral.
CCGCCAUUAGCUCAGUCCGGUUAGAGCGACCGUCUUAUACGCGGUGUCAGUCCAAGGUUCAAAUCCUUUAUGGCGGA